This 253-nucleotide ribosomal RNA is filed under the name uncultured bacterium. RNAcentral describes it as "partial 16S ribosomal RNA". It matches the Rfam family "Bacterial small subunit ribosomal RNA", at positions 524 to 776 of the family's 1533-position model. The record is from RNAcentral.
UACGGAGGGUGCAAGCGUUAUCCGGAUUCACUGGGUUUAAAGGGUGUGUAGGCGGGUAUUUAAGUCCGUGGUGAAAUCUCCGGGCUCAACCCGGAAACUGCCAUUGAUACUAUUUAUCUUGAAUCUUGUUGAGGUAGGCGGAAUUCAUCAUGUAGCGGUGAAAUGCUUAGAUAUGAUGUAGAACACCGAUUGCGAAGGCAGCUUACUAAACAAGCAUUGACGCUGAGGCACGAAAGCGUGGGGAUCAAACAGG